This 292-nucleotide ribosomal RNA is filed under the name uncultured bacterium. RNAcentral's name for it is "partial 16S ribosomal RNA". It matches the Rfam family "Bacterial small subunit ribosomal RNA", at positions 505 to 796 of the family's 1533-position model. The record is from RNAcentral.
GUGCCAGCCGCCGCGGUAAUACGGAGGAUGCAAGCGUUAUCCGGAUUCAUUGGGUUUAAAGGGUGCGCAGGCGGACCUGUAAGUCAGGGGUGAAAGCCUCCCGCUUAACGGGAGAUUGGCCUUUGAUACUGCAGGUCUUGAGUCUAGCUGAGGUAGGCGGAAUGUAGUAUGUAGCGGUGAAAUGCAUAGAUAUACUACGGAACACCCAUUGCGAAGGCAGCUUACCAAACUAGCACUGACGCUCAGGCACGAAAGCGUGGGUAGCAAACAGGAUUAGAUACCCCGGUAGUCC